This 3059-nucleotide long non-coding RNA is filed under the name Heterocephalus glaber (naked mole-rat). RNAcentral's name for it is "lncRNA (ENSHGLG00000038828.1)". The record is from RNAcentral. Lineage: Eukaryota; Metazoa; Chordata; Mammalia; Rodentia; Bathyergidae.
CUAAUGAGUGAAUUGUUUACCUGAGUACUGGGAGUGUCUCAGUAGGUGAUAAUCAUCCCUGAAGAGAGGGGUGUGGGAGCCUUUGGUUUGUAGCCAAUCAAUCAGAAACACGGGUAAUGACCUGUACUGGCAUCUGGGGUUUCAAGCUGGGAGUGUGAGGCCAUCUAUGGAAUUGAUCCCUGUGGGAUCUGAUGCCAUCUCCAGGUAGACAGUGUCAGUAUGGAGUUAAGUUGUCGGACACCCAGUUGUGUCUGCAGAGAACUGGGGAGUUGUUUGUGUGGAAAAGCCCACAUUUCUGGUGUCAGAAGUAGAGUAUCAAGAGUGAUAAGGAAAUGUGUAACUGUAGAAAGAAAAAGGGCCUUUCCCUGUUCAUUUACGACAGGGAGGAAGUGGAAGGUGGCAGGACAGGGGGAAGCCCCUUCCCGGGCCUUCCCUGAAGGCUGCUGUGCCUCCUGUACUCACGGUAGAAACCCGGAGAGAGAUGAGUUUCCACAGACCCUUCCGGUCCUGGUUUCCUCACCUGUGAGAGUGACUGCCUUCUGGGGUUCGUUAGGGUUUAGAACCAGAUGUCCCCAGAGCAUCAGACACUCACAGAUGGGGCUUUUGGGCCACGGUUGGAUCACGAGCACCUAGCUGACUUGUUGUCAGGAGAUGGGUCGGUCCCUGGAAGGUCCGCCUCCCUCCCCAGCUCCUCCUUUGACCCACUGCUUCCUGGCCGCCAUGCUACGAGCAGUGCUCCUCCGCCAGGCCCCUCUGUCAGGCCGCCCUGCCUUCGAGCCAGCAGCUGGGAACGGAAACCGCUACAGACGACCCUGUGCCCGUGUUCAGGUAAGCGGAGGCGGAAGGCACCAGACUGCAGCACAGCCACAAGUCCUGACUCCGACGGAGCCCGGGUGUGUAUCGCACAGGGACUGCGUCUCAAGCACUCAUGGUGUGGCAGGCAGCAGGUGAGAGCUGCCAAGCGUGGUGGGGCGUGCCAGGUGGGAAGGCAAGCGCUUGGCUCUAGACUCUGCCUGGACUUGCUCCUGUCCUGGCUCUGAGUGGCUUGGGGACCUCAGGCAGGGUGCUCCAGCUUUCCCAGCCUCCUCGCCGUGGCCCAUAAGGUGGAGGUGGUGAUGGCAGCAGUGUGUGACACUGUGUGUCAAGUGCAGAGUGUGGCUCGCUGUGCAGAAGAUGCCAGUCACCGCCAUGGCCUUUUCUAUGCUCAUUACCUCUGGGGUGGGAGUUCAGAGAGGGGACAGCACAUGAGCCUGACUGGGAAGGGUGCAUGCCGCUGGUUUGCCGAAGCUGGCAGGAAGGCAGGGUCACCAUGUCACACAGCUCUGAGAACAGCGCUCAUGUCGUAGACUCCUGGCUGGCACUUCCUGGAGUUGCAGAGUCCCAGCCACCAAGGCAAUGUACCAAUGCCCAUCUUCUUGGGGGGCAGCUGCUGGUCUCCUCAUGCCUGGGUACAGAGAGGAGAGAUGCUUGGGGUUGCCUGGGUGGACAUACAGCAGCCACAGCAAACAGGUGCAGCGUGCCUUGGGGUAAAUCAGCUCUGAGGGCCACAUCUCCCAGGGGGCCCCGAGUCACCAGUUCUGUCCUCGUGACCCAGGCAUCUGGCCACCUUCCAUUUAUGCCAUGAGUGUGAAGCUUAAUUCCAUGUAAGACAGGGCUGUGUUGAAUUCCACGAGAGAGGCUGAGUCUCCAGGAGGCUCAAGAUGCUGCAGAGGUUGGCAUCUGUGGGGCUGCAUAGGGGUUUAGAGCUCAGGGCCCACAGCAAAGAGCAGGGCAUCGCUCCCUGCCCCGUCCCCGGCGGAAGUGGGCUUCACUGCACCUGCUGCGUGCCUUCCAAGACCCCCAGACUCUGGGACUUGGAGGCGCAAAUCAGACUUGCCUGAGCUGAACUGAGUGAGUACCAUCGGCUCCUCUCUUGACUCCGUCUUAUUGGGUCUGCUGCCCUGUCUCUCUUAGAAAUUCCGCCAAGGUGAGCAGCUCUCCACCUGCCUGCUUGUAAAUCCUGGUUCACUGAACAUAGCUGCAGGACCUUGGCCAGACACGACCACCGUCUGGGCCUCAGUUUCCUCGUCUCCAUUGGUGACAGCAGCAGCGCCGCUGUCAGGAGGAUGUAGGCAGGUUAUUUGAGAAGUGUCAGUGCAUAUAGAAAACAGCUGUUUUCCUUGCCUUGGAGACAUGGGGGCUUUAUGAAAUUCUGCAUCGAUCCUCUCCUCGGCUCAACUCCCCAUUCCCGAGUCUGUGUCCUCCCCGUGCCCAGGACAUCCGGGCACCUGCCACAUGCAGGAGCUCACCCUAGAGCAGAUGCUGAGCCCUUUCCACUCAGCUCCAGUACAACGGAGCCCAAAGGUCUCUGCUGUCAUUGGAUUUUGUGCAAAAAGAAUUUUCUCUCACCUUUGUUGAUUUCUUCCCAAACCUUUAUUUUUCUUUAAGUUCUGGAUAAUUCAAAAAUAAAAACAAAAUAAAAGAGAAUGGGAAAUAGGGAGAAAGAUCUUUGGACACGGAGGGAAGGAGGGGAGGGGGUGAGAGCUGAGAUGCGCUGGGGAGACACAGGGUCCCCUCCCCACCUUGAAGGCCGUCGUCACCUACGGCAAACAUGGACUGAUAAAAACGAAGACUUUGAAAAUGGUCCUACGGGCUAAAACAUUUGGCCACUUCUGCCUUGCGCGCUGCCUCGGUCGAUGUGCCCCUGUCUUUCGAAUGGAUGUUUAUGCUCCCGUGGGCCUUCUGCAGUAGAGAACAGCAGAGAUUCCUGUUUCCAGGCCCCCGCUGGUGCCUGCAGGAGACAGGUGAUGAGUGCCUUGUUAGGAAAUCCAUCUCUGGCGCAGACAGGAAGUACAGGGAGACAAAGCUCAGUCAGCAGAGUCCUCGCCCUGACCCGGGUGUUGGCUCCUCACUGAGGGCCCUUUCUGGGCACCGAGGAGGCAUCGAGGCGGCUGUGGGAGCCCUAGAGAGGGCACUCGGCUUUGUUCAAACCUGGCAUUUUAAUAUUCUAUAAUAACAUUGUUAAUGCAAAUUGUAAAUUUUGCAAAAUGAUCGAAACAAGUCAUAUAACAGAGAGGCAC